CAUGAGACUAAAAAAGAACAAGUGUAUACAGUUAAACUGAUUGAAAAAUACAAAUUGAUUAUCUUCUUAGAGGUAGAAUACAAGUUAUGUAGAGUCAUUCAUGUCCUUCAAACUGUUUAUUGAUACCAGAAGAAUAUAAACCUGCUUCAGUCUAGUCUGUAGUCUCUUUUCAGGUCAGAAUUAAUAAUUUCAGCCAAAAAUAAAAAUGACAUUUAAUUUGUAAUUCUUUUCAAUUAAAUGAAAUAGAUUAGAAUGCCUUUAUUGACACUGCACAGCUAUACAAUAACAUUUAGAGCCUCUCCCUGAAUGGUACAUACAGCACAGACACUACAUAGAAUCUUCAAACAGAUUCAAAUUUCCAGCAUUAACUCCUACUAAAAUUAUGGCUAUGAUUUUCUUCUAAACCCAAGUUUGUUCUACACGCAACAUUUAAAAAGUUUGCACUACAAAACAAAAGUAGAGUAAAACGUCUGGAAAGUUAAAAAGCCAGGAAAUUAGUAUUGCUUAGCAAAGUUCUAGUUAAAUUAAAAAAGAGCGGAAAUUACAUUUUUUAAGAAACUUGUGCCUUCUCAGGUUCGCCAGGGCCCAGUGAAGGUAAAUAUCCUUGACCUGUAUAUGAAGGGGCUCUACAUGUGCUCACCUCCUUUAUGGUGUAAACACUGAAGUGGCUAUCACAUCACCUUAUCACACAAUGCUCAGUUUUGGCCUCUUGCUUACUCACGGGCCAAAGAGCAAGUUACUGGCUAACAGAGAGGACAAUAAAAUACAGUCGUUGUUUUUGAAUACAGGAGCUUUAGGUAAUUUCUUUUAUUUUACAGGUCAAACAUAUCUGUUGGUUCAUUGUACUCUACUCUACUCUAAACCACCUUCUGUAAACCAAUUGUAUACUGCUGUCUACACUGCACUAUAUUUCUUGUCCUGUCUAUGCACCACCUGUCUAUACUUUGUACACAUUGCUGUUUUCUGCCUUUUUGGACUUCUGGUUAGACACAAACUGCAUUUCGUUGUCUUUGUACUUGUACUCUGCACAAUGACAAUAAAGUUAAUCUAAUCUAACCUAAUCUCAUCUAAUCUAAAUUGUUGUUUUCAGAUCAGCUUUCAUAGUGUCUGUAAGUGAAUCAAACACAUACUGCAUGCUGAAAUGAAGAUACUCAAUUCAUGUGGCAUCAUGUAGAUUUGCUUGUCAGCACACUCAUAGCAGAUAUGUGGUUGGAGAGUGAUGAUGAGCAACACAAUAUUUGUGGCCUACAGUCAUCAUCUUAGAGGCUGGCCGCCUUUGUUCACACCCAACAACACAGCUGCUAUUUGUAAAGCAGAGAACAUCUGUCAGGCCCAUUAUAGAGCUGUCCAGAACCUUCAUCUCUAACUCCUCUGCUAUUGGAUAACAGCUUCAGAUGACUAGGAUAGUUAUUUUGUAUGUCUAUGCAGUCACAAUUGCAACUAUUAUCGCAAACACAGUUUUUGAGAUGUGUUUUGUUGGAGUGUUGAAUGGAAACACAUACAGUGUAGUCCGCUAACAAUGUAUGUUAAUGCUGUGAUGGGCCAAAUCCUCUCUCUUUAGUUGUUUGACAAGUUUUUGUUUUAUUUUCCAAAACACAUUGCUGACCUGUCUAGAUCUUGGCCUUGGAGCUUCACGGCAGUUUUACUCCGAUCGCAAAGCUGCAUUUCAUUAAAAGUGAAACAUCAAUCUUACCCAACUGUUCACAUCUGUUGGCCCCCAGAUGGCAUGAGGAUGCCUGAGUCUAGUGAGCUCCCUAGAGAACAAUUUCCCUUUUCUCAGGAAUGUAUCUAUCCCUCACAAAACAAGGUGACAUAAUAAAGCAGCACACUGGGAAAGACUAAGCUAACAGGAACUAAACUACAACAGAGCAAUGCAGUUAUGCAGCUAACUCCUAACAGAACAUCUACUCACACAGAAGGCAAAGGGGGAACUUGACAAAAUCGAUCACAAGCCCAUGGCAGUUAUUCUUCAAAAAGAUAACUAUGGAGUGAUUUAAAGGAAGCUCAGUCCACUAUUUUCCUCCAUUUCAUUCUUCACGAUCCUGUUGAAAACCAAGCCAAUUCAAAUUCAGAGGAGUGCAGGCAUUAUACAAUAAAGCACUGUUUUGUUUUUUUCAGCAUGUAUCAGCUGAAGGAGAUCCUGUUCCAUUUUGGCAACGGAUGCUUGCUCAACACCCCCAACUACCCCCAACCUCAAACAGACAGAGCGGCCUACGUGCCUAAGAGGACGCUGACAGUGGAGGCCAGUGCAGAAGAAGACUGUGAAACUAAUAAACACCCUCACCUGCCCACCAACCACUCCUUUCAUUGUCCCCAUCUCCUGGCGCGCCGGGUUUUUGCUCCCUGGAGAACAAUAAUCCGGGGCUGUCUUUUUGGAACAAGAUGAGGGGGAAAUUGGGACCGACCCAGAAAUAGCUAAAUUAUCUGACAAGUCUACUAGGCAACUAAAUCAGUCUGGCUUACAUGGGGUCUUACAAGACUGGCGUGACUUGGAGGCUUAUGAUGACAAUAUAGACCCUUUCAACAAUAAAAACAAAAACAAUGCUUGAACGUUC
Long non-coding RNA from Alosa sapidissima (American shad), 2555 nucleotides. RefSeq lists it as uncharacterized. NCBI's taxonomy places the organism in Eukaryota, Metazoa, Chordata, Actinopteri, Clupeiformes, Clupeidae. The record is from RefSeq and is a predicted model, not a curated record. The transcript has 2 exons.